UACGUAGGGGGCAAGCGUUGUCCGGAAUCAUUGGGCGUAAAGCGCGCGUAGGCGGCCCGGUAAGUCCGCUGUAAAAGUCAAAGGCUCAACCUUUGAAUGUCAGUGGAUACUGCCGGGCUAGAGUCCGGAAGAGGCGAGUGGAAUUCCUGGUGUAGCGGUGAAAUGCGCAGAUAUCAGGAGGAACACCAAUUGCGAAGGCAGCUCGCUGGGACGUUACUGACGCUGAGACGCGAAAGCGUGGGGAGCAAACAGG
This 253-nucleotide ribosomal RNA is filed under the name uncultured bacterium. RNAcentral describes it as "partial 16S ribosomal RNA". It matches the Rfam family "Bacterial small subunit ribosomal RNA", at positions 524 to 776 of the family's 1533-position model. The record is from RNAcentral.